Molecule: ribosomal RNA, 466 nt
Filed under: uncultured bacterium
Lineage: Bacteria
Description: partial 16S ribosomal RNA
Rfam family: Bacterial small subunit ribosomal RNA
Source: RNAcentral
GACGAACGCUGGCGGCGCGCCUAACACAUGCAAGUCGAACGAGCGAGAGAGAGCUUGCUUUCUCGAGCGAGUGGCGAACGGGUGAGUAACGCGUGAGGAACCUGCCUCAAAGAGGGGGACAACAGUUGGAAACGACUGCUAAUACCGCAUAAGCCCACGGCUCGGCAUCGAGCAGGGGGAAAAGGAGCAAUCCGCUUUGAGAUGGCCUCGCGUCCGAUUAGCUAGUUGGUGGGGUAACGGCCCACCAAGGCGACGAUCGGUAGCCGGACUGAGAGGUUGAACGGCCACAUUGGGACUGAGACACGGCCCAGACUCCUACGGGAGGAAGCAGGGGGGAAUAUUGCACGAUGGGGGAAACACUGAGGCAGCGACGUCGCGUGGAGGAAGAAGGUCUUCGGAUUGUAAAUGCCUGUGGUUGGGGAAGAUAAUGACGGUACCCAACAAGGAAGUGACGGCUAACUACGUG